GAUGAAGAACGUAGCGAAAUGCGAUAAGUAAUGUGAAUUGCAGAAUUCAGUGAAUCAUCGAAUCUUUGAACGCACAUUGCGCCCGCUAGUAUUCUGGCGGGCAUGCCUGUUCGAGCGUCAUUUCAACCCUCGAGCCCCUCUGGGCUUGGUGUUGGGGAUCGGCCUCCGCCCCCGGCGGCCGGCCCCGAAAUUCAGUGGCGGCCCCGCCGCAGCGACCUCUGCGUAGUAGCACACACCUCGCACUGGAGCGCGGCGCGGCCACGCCGUAAAGCGGACAACCGUCCAUCUUUCUCAAGGUUGACCUCGGAUCAGGUAGGAAUACCCGCUGAACUUAAGCAUAUCAAUAAGCGGAGGA
This 355-nucleotide unclassified non-coding RNA is filed under the name soil metagenome. Its description in RNAcentral is "partial contains 5.8S ribosomal RNA, internal transcribed spacer 2, and large subunit ribosomal RNA". The stretch from base 1 to 120 matches the Rfam family "5.8S ribosomal RNA", at positions 35 to 154 of the family's 154-position model. The record is from RNAcentral.